Molecule: long non-coding RNA, 544 nt
Organism: Carica papaya (papaya)
Lineage: Eukaryota; Viridiplantae; Streptophyta; Magnoliopsida; Brassicales; Caricaceae
Source: RefSeq, a predicted model, not a curated record
UUUGAUCAGGAGAGAAGGGAGGAGGAGAGAAAAGGUGCAUGAAAUCAAUAGUGAGAAAGGAUGAGUGCGUGAUGGCGAAGGGUAGAAGGCCAAGAAUUCCUUUGUCAUUUACGAACGAUGAUGCAUUACAAAGAAUGCCAUACUAUAGGUGAAGAAGAGAAUCCACACCACAAGCUUCAUCUAUUCGAGACCUAGGUAAGGGUAGUUUAUACCCUAAAUUCCUAGAUUUAAGCUAAUAUAUUUGAUUUAGAUUCAUUAUUUGUUAAAGAAUUGUAAUAAGGAUUGAUUGUUGUGAAUACGGUUAGUGGAUCAUGUGAUGACAGAGCAAAGCUUGAAUUGGCUAAUUGUUAUGUGAUGAAGAUGGCAGCUGGAAUUGAAUGUGAAGUGCAAUUAAUGUUUUCAGAGAUUGAAGAAGAUGGAAAGGGGGCUUCAUGUGGGUCAGGUUGAUUAUACCUAUGAGGCCCAGGCUUGAUUUACCCUAACUUGGGCCAGAGCCCAUAAGGAUUCGUAGAACGGGCUUAGUAGUUAAGUUGGAAGAGUAAAA